RNAcentral lists this ribosomal RNA (271 nucleotides) under uncultured bacterium. RNAcentral describes it as "partial 16S ribosomal RNA". It matches the Rfam family "Bacterial small subunit ribosomal RNA", at positions 524 to 794 of the family's 1533-position model. The record is from RNAcentral.
UACGGAGGGUGCGAGCGUUGUUCGGAAUUACUGGGCGUAAAGGGCUCGUAGGCGGCCAACUAAGUCGGAUGUGAAAUCCCCAGGCUCAACCUGGGAACUGCAUCCGAUACUGGAUGGCUUGAAUUCGGGAGAGGGAUGCAGAAUUCCAGGUGUAGCGGUGAAAUGCGUAGAUAUCUGGAGGAAUACCGGUGGCGAAGGCGACUUCCUGGCCUGUUCUUGACGCUGAGGCGCGAAAGCUAGGGGAGCAAACGGGAUUAGAAACCCCAGUAGU